RNAcentral lists this ribosomal RNA (253 nucleotides) under uncultured bacterium. RNAcentral's name for it is "partial 16S ribosomal RNA". It matches the Rfam family "Bacterial small subunit ribosomal RNA", at positions 524 to 776 of the family's 1533-position model. The record is from RNAcentral.
UACAGAGGUGGCAAGCGUUGUUCGGAAUUACUGGGCGUAAAGGGCGCGUAGGCGGUUCGUUAAGUCCUGUGUGAAGUCCCCCGGCUCAACUGGGGAACUGCACAGGAAACUAGCGGGCUUGAGUUCGGGAGAGGGAAGCGGAAUUCCGGGUGGAACGGUGAAAUGUGUUGAUAUCCGAAGGAACACCGGUGGCGAAAGCGGCUUACUGGGUCUCAACUGACGCUGAUGCACGAAAGCCAGGGUAGCAAACGGG